AUGCCUUAAACUGAUGAGUAAGGAAAAUAACGAGUCGGGGUGACGCCCGGUUCCUCGCUCAAAACUCGCGAGAGGAAUUUUUGGAAGGGUACAGGUCGACCCGAGGUGACCCGCUUACUUUCGCGGGAUGCCGAGGAGCACCGAUCUGCCCC
Acipenser ruthenus (sterlet) is the source of this 152-nucleotide small nuclear RNA. RefSeq annotates it as U12 minor spliceosomal RNA. NCBI's taxonomy places the organism in Eukaryota, Metazoa, Chordata, Actinopteri, Acipenseriformes, Acipenseridae. The record is from RefSeq and is a predicted model, not a curated record. The transcript has a single exon.